AUUUUCUCUUUCUUUGCCUGGGAGGUGAGGUGCAGAUUACUUCAGUUUCCUCUUCUGAGAAGUGGGGUAAGAGUUCUCACUUACCCCACUUCCUGCGAGCACUGCAGGAAAGAGGAGGGUUCCUCUUUCCUGGUGGGAAACGCCACAGUCCUGAGACCAGCUGCCCUUCAUCCAAGUACCCUCCAUUGGCCCCAGGAAAAGGGUGGAUGACACCCAGUCCUAGGCCUCUGGGACUGCAGAGACAUUGGGAUUAGAGUCCCACACUACAAACAACUGGAUGUGCCCUUGGAAACCUUCCAGUCCAACUUCUUUAGUUUGGAAAUGAAGCAGCUGAGGCCAGGUAUGAUAGAACUGAGGCUCUACAUCGUUAAGGAACUUGCUCAGGGUCACAGAGCUGGGAGUAGUGAAGCCAGGAUUCAAAUACAGUUUUCUGACUGCAAAGUCUGUCCUCUGAACCACUAAGGCACAACAAAGCAACCUCAAACCCAGGAGCCUGGCUUCGGGAAGCAUCAGGACUAACUACAUUUUUGGAGUCAAUAGAUGCAAACAACUGAUUUGGUCCUCAUAGCAACCACUGCAGGAAACACUCUACCCUACACUGAGCUGUGACCACAUGUGGGUCCAUUUUCUUCACCGUGGAAUCCUAAGCCUAAGGAAUCACUUCAGGACCAGAAUCGUAAAAUGGGAAUGUGGAAUUCUGCUGUAUUGGAACAUGAUGCAUUCCAGAGAAUGGUUUGUGGGCUGACAGCUCAUAUAUUUGAGCCCCAGGAAGCUCGGAGUCACUUCUGGGGUCCCAUUCCAGCAGCUGUGCAGGACUUCAGGGUAAGUGUUUUGAGAUGGACCCCCAUCCACCUCGUUUCAUCUUAUUUUUCUGUCAUCCUCAAUCCGACAGAGAAGUUAAAACAACAGACUUGCAAUCACUCUGACCUUCUGCUUUGCUACUCACCAACUGUAUGGCCUUGGCAAGAUACUUCACCUCUUUUAGCCUAUUUCCUUAUCAAAUAUCUAUCUCAUGGGAUUUUUCUGUGGAUUAAUAAAGUAAUAAAAAACAAUUAGCCCAGGACAUGGCCUACAGCAGAGCAGUCCCAACUCAGGAAUAAAUAAUGUAGUAUAAUAAUUGAAACGUUGUUUUUUAAAUCUCCAUCAGCCACCUCAAAUCCUCUUCUGGAAUGACACAGAGGUUAAAAAAAAAACAAAAACAAAUAUAAAAAUAAAACUCUUAGGUAGCCCAGGCUUUCCCAUGCACUUGUGUUGUACAUUCUUUUUCUGUUAGACAAACACAGAGGAAACCAAAGUGUAAUCAGAAGGGUGCUUGGUAGAAAGGACUUUGGACAAGGUGAGUUCCUCUCUGGGGAUUGCCAAGGCUGAAGAGGACUGCCUCUUCCAAGGUCAUGUCAUCCCCAGGGGCAGCCUGCACCCGUCCAAAAGGGCCAUCCCAGCUCCAGAGCUCUCCCUGCGGAUCGGCUGAGGCCUUCAUCGCAGCUGCAUCUCGGGCCAGCCUCCCCCAAUCCUGCCUCCCACCACCCUCCACAGACAUCAGUCCUGAAGUCAUCUUUAAUAAACUUCCUGUGUGCAACACUCCCUGUCCUCUGUUUCCCAGACAGCCGACCUUCGGUGUUUGUAAGGUUUGCUUAUUAAAUGGCCCCAUCUCUGAUAGAUUUUGUCAGUGUUUGUCUCCAGAGCGGGUUAUACCUUCUGGUUCCCUUGACAGGAUAGUCUCCCCAGGGGCAUGUCUACACCUGGUAUUUGUAGGAACUGAUCAAAGUUGGAGACAGGGAGAAAACAGAGAAAUCCUAAUGUUUCCUGCACAUUAUAGU
Molecule: long non-coding RNA, 1817 nt
Organism: Choloepus didactylus (southern two-toed sloth)
Lineage: Eukaryota; Metazoa; Chordata; Mammalia; Pilosa; Megalonychidae
Exons: 4
Source: RefSeq, a predicted model, not a curated record